This 1194-nucleotide ribosomal RNA is filed under the name Escherichia coli. RNAcentral describes it as "partial 23S ribosomal RNA". It matches the Rfam family "Bacterial large subunit ribosomal RNA", at positions 696 to 1872 of the family's 2925-position model. Lineage: Bacteria; Pseudomonadati; Pseudomonadota; Gammaproteobacteria; Enterobacterales; Enterobacteriaceae. The record is from RNAcentral.
UAAGUUGCAGGGUAUAGACCCGAAACCCGGUGAUCUAGCCAUGGGCAGGUUGAAGGUUGGGUAACACUAACUGGAGGACCGAACCGACUAAUGUUGAAAAAUUAGCGGAUGACUUGUGGCUGGGGGUGAAAGGCCAAUCAAACCGGGAGAUAGCUGGUUCUCCCCGAAAGCUAUUUAGGUAGCGCCUCGUGAAUUCAUCUCCGGGGGUAGAGCACUGUUUCGGCAAGGGGGUCAUCCCGACUUACCAACCCGAUGCAAACUGCGAAUACCGGAGAAUGUUAUCACGGGAGACACACGGCGGGUGCUAACGUCCGUCGUGAAGAGGGAAACAACCCAGACCGCCAGCUAAGGUCCCAAAGUCAUGGUUAAGUGGGAAACGAUGUGGGAAGGCCCAGACAGCCAGGAUGUUGGCUUAGAAGCAGCCAUCAUUUAAAGAAAGCGUAAUAGCUCACUGGUCGAGUCGGCCUGCGCGGAAGAUGUAACGGGGCUAAACCAUGCACCGAAGCUGCGGCAGCGACGCUUAUGCGUUGUUGGGUAGGGGAGCGUUCUGUAAGCCUGCGAAGGUGUGCUGUGAGGCAUGCUGGAGGUAUCAGAAGUGCGAAUGCUGACAUAAGUAACGAUAAAGCGGGUGAAAAGCCCGCUCGCCGGAAGACCAAGGGUUCCUGUCCAACGUUAAUCGGGGCAGGGUGAGUCGACCCCUAAGGCGAGGCCGAAAGGCGUAGUCGAUGGGAAACAGGUUAAUAUUCCUGUACUUGGUGUUACUGCGAAGGGGGGACGGAGAAGGCUAUGUUGGCCGGGCGACGGUUGUCCCGGUUUAAGCGUGUAGGCUGGUUUUCCAGGCAAAUCCGGAAAAUCAAGGCUGAGGCGUGAUGACGAGGCACUACGGUGCUGAAGCAACAAAUGCCCUGCUUCCAGGAAAAGCCUCUAAGCAUCAGGUAACAUCAAAUCGUACCCCAAACCGACACAGGUGGUCAGGUAGAGAAUACCAAGGCGCUUGAGAGAACUCGGGUGAAGGAACUAGGCAAAAUGGUGCCGUAACUUCGGGAGAAGGCACGCUGAUAUGUAGGUGAAGUCCCUCGCGGAUGGAGCUGAAAUCAGUCGAAGAUACCAGCUGGCUGCAACUGUUUAUUAAAAACACAGCACUGUGCAAACACGAAAGUGGACGUAUACGGUGUGACGCCUGCCCGGUGCCGG